AAGAGCAUUCGGUGGAUGCCUUGGCGCUGAGAGGCGAUGAAGGACGUGGUACGCUGCGAUAAGCCUUGGGGAGCUGCGAACGAGCUUUGAUCCGAGGAUCUCCGAAUGGGGAAACCCACCUUCGACCUUUCGUAUUGCAGUCGCAGACUUU
Molecule: ribosomal RNA, 151 nt
Filed under: Oryza sativa Indica Group (long-grained rice)
Lineage: Eukaryota; Viridiplantae; Streptophyta; Magnoliopsida; Poales; Poaceae
Description: rRNA 5_8S_rRNA
Rfam family: Bacterial large subunit ribosomal RNA
Source: RNAcentral